CUACGGGCGGCAGCAGUGGGGAAUAUUGCACAAUGGGCGCAAGCCUGAUGCGGCCAUGCCGCGUGUAUGAAGAAGGCCUUCGGGUUGUAAAGUACUUUCAGCGGGGAGGAAGGGAGUAGAGUUAAUACCUUUGCUCAUUGACGUUACCCGCAGAAGAAGCACCGGCUAACUCCGUGCCAGCAGCCGCGGUAAUACGGAGGGUGCAAGCGUUAAUCGGAAUUACUGGGCGUAAAGCGCACGCAGGCGGUUUGUUAAGUCAGAUGUGAAAUCCCCGGGCUCAACCUGGGAACUGCAUCUGAUACUGGCAAGCUUGAGUCUCGUAGAGGGGGGUAGAAUUCCAGGUGUAGCGGUGAAAUGCGUAGAGAUCUGGAGGAAUACCGGUGGCGAAGGCGGCCCCCUGGACGAAGACUGACGCUCAGGUGCGAAAGCGUGGGGAGCAAACAGGAUUAGAUACCCUUGUAGUC
This 464-nucleotide ribosomal RNA is filed under the name uncultured bacterium. Its description in RNAcentral is "partial 16S ribosomal RNA". It matches the Rfam family "Bacterial small subunit ribosomal RNA", at positions 339 to 795 of the family's 1533-position model. The record is from RNAcentral.